This is a non-coding RNA of Kogia breviceps (pygmy sperm whale), 3324 nucleotides long. The record is from RefSeq and is a predicted model, not a curated record. Lineage: Eukaryota; Metazoa; Chordata; Mammalia; Artiodactyla; Physeteridae.
GAGUGAUGGGCGGUGAAGAUGGCGGCGGAGCGGAGUCGCUUCCCGAUGGACUCGCCGGUCCCUGCCUCUAUGUUCGCCCCCGAGCCCAGCUCUCCGGGGGCAGCCAGGGCCGCGGCGGCUGCCGCCCGGCUCCACAGCGGCUUCGACUCGGACUGCAGCGAGGACGGCGAGGCGCUCAACGGCGAACCGGAGCUGGACCUCACCAGCAAGCUGGUUCUAGUGAGCCCUACAUCAGAGCAGUAUGACAGCCUACUUCGGCAAAUGUGGGAGAGGAUGGACGAGGGAUGCGGAGAGACCAUAUAUGUCAUUGGGCAGGGAUCAGAUGGGGCCGAGUACGGGCUGAGCGAAGCUGACAUGGAGGCCUCCUGUGCCACAGUGAAGAGCAUGGCAGGACAGGUAGAGGCCGAUGUCAUCCUCCUCCGGGAACGUCAAGAAGCUGGGGGCCGUGUGCGCGAUUACCUAGUCCGGAAACGAGUAGGAGACAAUGACUUCCUGGAAGUCAGGGUAGCGGUAGUGGGCAACGUGGAUGCCGGCAAAAGCACGCUUCUGGGGGUCCUGACCCACGGGGAGCUGGACAACGGCCGAGGCUUCGCCCGCCAGAAACUCUUCCGCCACAAACAUGAGAUUGAAUCUGGUCGCACCAGCAGCGUGGGCAACGACAUUCUGGGCUUUGACAGUGAAGGCAAUGUGGUAAACAAGCCGGACAGCCAUGGUGGCAGCCUGGAGUGGACAAAGAUCUGUGAGAAAUCCACUAAGGUGAUUACUUUCAUCGACUUGGCCGGCCAUGAGAAGUACCUGAAGACCACUGUGUUUGGCAUGACAGGCCAUUUGCCUGACUUCUGCAUGCUCAUGGUGGGCAGCAAUGCUGGCAUCGUGGGGAUGACAAAGGAGCACCUGGGCUUGGCAUUGGCGCUCAACGUGCCUGUCUUUGUGGUGGUCACCAAGAUCGACAUGUGUCCUGCCAACAUCCUGCAAGAAACCCUGAAGCUGUUACAGCGCCUGCUGAAGUCGCCUGGCUGCCGCAAGAUCCCUGUUCUGGUGCAGAGCAAGGAUGAUGUGAUUGUUACAGCCUCCAACUUCAGCUCUGAGAGGAUGUGCCCGAUAUUCCAGAUCUCCAACGUUACAGGCGAGAACCUAGAUCUGCUGAAGAUGUUCCUCAACCUGCUGUCCCCUCGUACCAGUUACCGGGAGGAAGAGCCUGCCGAGUUUCAGAUUGACGACACCUACUCUGUCCCGGGUGUGGGAACGGUGGUGUCGGGGACAACGCUGAGGGGCCUGAUCAAGCUGAAUGACACGCUGCUGCUGGGCCCAGACCCCUUGGGUAACUUCCUGUCCAUUGCUGUCAAAUCGAUCCAUCGCAAGCGCAUGCCUGUCAAGGAGGUGCGGGGGGGCCAGACGGCCUCCUUCGCACUGAAGAAGAUCAAGCGCUCGUCCAUCCGGAAGGGCAUGGUGAUGGUUUCUCCACGCUUGAAUCCCCAAGCAUCCUGGGAGUUCGAGGCCGAGAUCCUCGUCCUUCACCACCCCACCACAAUCAGCCCGCGGUACCAGGCCAUGGUGCACUGUGGGAGCAUCAGGCAGACAGCCACCAUCCUGAGCAUGGACAAGGACUGCCUGCGCACCGGGGACAAGGCCGCCGUGCACUUCCGCUUUAUCAAGACCCCCGAGUACCUGCACAUAGACCAGCGGCUGGUGUUCCGGGAAGGCCGCACCAAGGCCGUAGGCACCAUCACUAAGCUCCUCCAGACCACCAACAAUUCCCCAAUGAACUCCAAGCCCCAGCAGAUUAAAAUGCAAUCGACGAAAAAGGGUCCCCUGCCCAAACGAGAAGAGGGAGGUCCCUCUGGAGGGCCAGCAGUAGGGGCACCCCCAACUGGAGAUGAAGCUUGCUCUCUAGCGGCUGCGCAGCCAGCUGCACCCGGCAGUCUCCAGCCACAGCCCCUCCAGGUGGAGGUGCGGCCACGGGGAACUCCGUUGCUCUGCCUGCCCUAGAGCCCCCGGCUGCGGGCCGGGCCGGGAGGGGCCCAGCUUCUCCGGUCAGGCAGGCAUGGCUUCAAAACCCAGACUCCUCCGCCAGCUGUGACACAGGACAAGUUGCCAUCCUCUGAACCUCAGUUUCCUCAUCCACAGCAAGAGGUAAAUGCCUAUAUCAGCUUGUUGCGAGGAUUCAGCGAGAGAAUGUGUGGGAGGCCCCGAUGUGCCCGGCAUGUGGGCGGUACCCGGUGAAUAAUGGGCCUCACACCGCUUCCCGCCCACGCCGGCUCCCACGUCCAUAGCAGAGGCCGCAAGCUGGGCAACAGGCUCAAAAGGAGAAAUGUGGCGUGGACACGUCUCUGCUGUGUAGCUGGGACUGUGCCCGGCAUUUCCCUCGCUUCGUGGUCUUUGAUGUUCGCAGCUACCGUCUAUGAGGGAGGUGGCGGUAGUUACGUUUUUCUGGUUAAGGACGCUGGAGCUCAGGAGAGCAGUGCCCCCAGCCCCCAGUCAUUCCAGCCACCCACUCCAGCGUGUCCUUCAGUCUGUCCUAGUUCCGUUGUCUGCUGGCUGUUUCCCUCUUGCAUUUUGACUCUGGUUCUGCUUACAGGGGCCGUUGCCCAGGGGUGCCGUUGUAAUAGGAGUUCUAGCGUUGAGCAGCACCCUGUGCUCUCUGUCCCCACGGUAGGUGCUGUGGAAUUUGUAUUUCCACAGGACUUGGCCACGGGGGACCUUGGAACAGGCAGAACCACAUUUUGUUGGAACUCUCCUGCCGCUGUGAGCAUAACCACUUCCUUUACAUUUUGAGGCUGUGGCCUCCACCCUGGCCUCUGCCUUCAAACACUCAGCUGUGAUGGGGCCCCUCCCUGGGCCAGGUGCCACGGUCAGGAUGAGAGGCGUGUGUUGAGUCCAGCUGGGCAACCACCCCUGGCCCUUGGAGCUGCUCAUUGGAGGCACUGAAUCUGGGGAGAUAUUUGCAGGGAAGGGCCAGGACCUGCUCCCUGGAACUGGCAAGAUUCUGGCUCUUCAGGGGACCCACCUCGUGCCAUCCCAACACAGGUAGGAUGUCCACCUGGCAUCUUUCCCUGGUUUUAGCCGAUGGUGGUAAAGGGACCGAUUGGUAGUAGCCACAGCAGGAAGUUGGCCUGGAUCCUUUUCUAUAUUCCAUUCCUUAUAAGGUAAUUCCACCCCCGCUACUGCCCUCCCCACCUGAAAGCUAUAGAUGCUCACACAGGCUCCUCCUCUUAACCCUGACCUGCAGAAGCUGAUGAAGCUUUCGCCCUGGGGCAGGAACAAAGCAAAGUGUUUAUACAGAACUCAAGCUACUGCGGGCAGGAAUAUAAAUAUUUAGAUGGA